AAAUUACUGAUGCAAAAAGUUGUACAAAUGAGGAAAUACAUGUUGGCUCAACAUAAUGGUUGUGUCAAAAAAGAAAAAUAUGUUUGGUCAAUGAUUGCAUGAUUUCCAUGAUUGUACUACAAAAUGUUCAUCAAGAGAAAAUAAAUAAUUAUGUUGAGAUAACUUUUAACGUUGCACAAAAAAUAUUAUGUUGGCCGAGCAAGAGAGAACAGCGUCAAUCGUCUGAGCAUGCGCAAAGGAGUUCUACCAGGCAGCGCUGCAGCAGGCUGGAGUCACGACAUUGCAUUGUCAGCAUUCCUGACAUCGCUGGACAAUCACACCCAGGGGUUGCUAAAGAUGUACAGAGCCAAAAGCAAGACUGGGAAGGUGGAACAACUUGGAUGAACUUCUGGAACAACUGGAUGCCCAGGAAACUAUUUCAUGAAGUUGGUUGAAAUGACGCCCAAUGGUGAAAAGAACCACAGAUCUAACUACUCAUUGAAGGUCUGCUGUUCUUAGUGGUCUUCCCCUGUACUUGAGAGAGCCAGCUUCAAUUUCAAAGACUAUUAAGGAUACUGAGGCACUGGGGCCACACACAAAGGCCAUGAAAAUGAAGUGACUGACAGUUCUACCAACUCAGGACCUUAUCCCACAGUGGUCAAUGUGGCUGUAGUAGUGGAGGAGGAAGUUGUCAUGGACAAUCUGGGAGACUUCACAAAUUCCCUCAUGAUGUUUGUUUCGGCACUGGUUGAAUACUUGUGUAAUAUUUUACUUGAGGCUAACAGGCAAAUUCAUAUGUAUUUAAAU
This is a long non-coding RNA of Carassius auratus (goldfish), 786 nucleotides long. RefSeq lists it as uncharacterized. The transcript has 5 exons. NCBI's taxonomy places the organism in Eukaryota, Metazoa, Chordata, Actinopteri, Cypriniformes, Cyprinidae. The record is from RefSeq and is a predicted model, not a curated record.